CAGCGCCUCUGUCUCUCUUCACGUUUCUCUCUCCCUCUGCCUCUCCCUCUCCCUCUCCCUCUCCGCUGCUCCUCUCCCCCUCUCUCACCGCCGCUCACCAGCCGCUCCUCCUCGCCGUCGCGGGCUACCGGAGCACCGAUUCACCUAGAUUUGUCCUAUUUUCUCUCUCUAAACUCCAUAGCCAAUCCUGAAAUUCAGAUCUACACGACACUACCCAUUUCAAAUCUUCCAUUGAACUGAGCUUCAAUGGCGAAUCUCGUGGUUCUGGUGGUGGUGAUUUUGGGUCUGAUCAAUCGUGGGUAUUGCCAAGAAACGGCUCAAGAAGCUCCAUGGAGAAUCCACACGUUGUUCUUCUCUGCGGAGUGCAACAACUACUUGUUCAGAAAAGAAGGAAUAAAGCAUAUCUGAUAUCAUGCCUACCAGGUUCAGUUCAUUGACUGAAGUAGAAGAAUAUUUAUUGAUUUUAGACUUGAGGCGAGGUUUAUCUGUCUAGUGAAAAGAAGGCCUCACAAUGGAUGCUCAAGCCAGAAAGAAGGCCUUGUAUCGUGCUAAACUGAAUACAAAUAAGCUGGAGAAGCGCAUAGAAUCUCCUCUUGUGAGGAAAUUUCUGCCCUGAGAUGGAACCGUUCUGGAGAAAAGAUUCCUUGAUAGAUAAAAAUGAAAUUUGCUUGUGUUUAAUUCUAGUGACUUGAAGAACCAAUUUAUGUUGUGAAUGCACAACUGUCCAAAGUAAAAGAGAGAUUUGUGCUGGGAAUACAACUUACGAUCACGAGUUUGUUGGUUUGGAUAGUAUAUGUAUUUGUUGGAUUAUACUAUAUUUAUGGAUUUUUAUUUUGUUGAUAUGUACGGUUAAUAGUUAAGUUUUGUAUGUGGUUGAAAAUUGAAUGGUACAAGUUGUGAAGAAAUAUUUUUAUUGAA
Molecule: non-coding RNA, 918 nt
Organism: Camellia sinensis
Lineage: Eukaryota; Viridiplantae; Streptophyta; Magnoliopsida; Ericales; Theaceae
Source: RefSeq, a predicted model, not a curated record